Molecule: ribosomal RNA, 442 nt
Filed under: uncultured bacterium
Lineage: Bacteria
Description: partial 16S ribosomal RNA
Rfam family: Bacterial small subunit ribosomal RNA
Source: RNAcentral
CCUACGGGUGGCAGCAGUGGGGAAUAUUGGGCAAUGGACGCACGUCUGACCCAGCAACGCCGCGUGAAGGAAGAAUGCUUUCGGGUUGUAAACUUCUUUUUAGGGGGAAGAGCAGAAGACGGUACCCCUUGAAUAAGCCACGGCUAACUACGUGCCAGCAGCCGCGGUAAUACGUAGGUGGCAAGCGUUGUCCGGAUUUACUGGGUGUAAAGGGCGUGCAGCCGGAGAGACAAGUCAGAUGUGAAAUCCACGGGCUCAACCCAUGAACUGCAUUUGAAACUGUUUCCCUUGAGUGUCGGAGAGGUAGUCGGAAUUCCUAGUGUAGCGGUGAAAUGCGUAGAUAUUAGGAGGAACACCAGUGGCGAAGGCAGCUUACUGGACUGUAACUGACGUUGAGGCUCGAAAGCGUGGGGAGCAAACAGGAUAAGAUACCCCUGUAGUC